AUUGAACGCUGGCGGCAUGCCUUACACAUGCAAGUCGAACGGUAACGGGCCUUCGGGUGCCGACGAGUGGCGAACGGGUGAGUAAUACAUCGGAACGUGCCCGAUCGUGGGGGAUAACGAGGCGAAAGCUUUGCUAAUACCGCAUACGAUCUACGGAUGAAAGCAGGGGACCGCAAGGCCUUGCGCGGACGGAGCGGCCGAUGGCAGAUUAGGUAGUUGGUGGGAUAAAAGCUUACCAAGCCGACGAUCUGUAGCUGGUCUGAGAGGAUGAUCAGCCACACUGGGACUGAGACACGGCCCAGACUCCUACGGGAGGCAGCAGUGGGGAAUUUUGGACAAUGGGCGCAAGCCUGAUCCAGCCAUGCCGCGUGCAGGAUGAAGGCCUUCGGGUUGUAAACUGCUUUUGUACGGAACGAAAAGCCAUCUUUUAAUACAGGAGGGUCAUGACGGUACCGUAAGAAUAAGCACCGGCUAACUACGUG
RNAcentral lists this ribosomal RNA (482 nucleotides) under uncultured bacterium. RNAcentral describes it as "partial 16S ribosomal RNA". It matches the Rfam family "Bacterial small subunit ribosomal RNA", at positions 30 to 507 of the family's 1533-position model. The record is from RNAcentral.